GGUAUACCUAUUUUUCUCUCCUCAAAUUCCAGUUGGUGCUUUGCUCAGACGCAAUAUUUCUCCGCGGCAGGCAGCUGCGAUCGGGAUCUCAACACUUUCAUCCCACAGUUCAUCAACAAUGCCCUUUAGGGAAGCCGUGGAGUUGGAGGUGGAGCCUCCGAGCGUAGGUCGGUAUUUGAUCGGAGCGGCGAUAAUGAUGCUUGGAGUGGUGUUGCUUGUUGGCUACAUGAUGUUUCGUAACAAAAGAGUUCCUUCCUCUUCCUCCUACUCCAAACAGACGAACAAGGUUUUGAUAUAGAGGUGUGUUUUGGAUGCCUGGAAUUAAUGUUUAGUCACGGGCAAGGUGGUACAGUUUGAAGGAAAGGUGGAGAAUGGAUUUUGAUUUUUGGUAACACUGCAAAUUGCCUGUACAUGUUAGAAAGUAUACUGGUUUUGACAUAUUGAGCUGUUAGUUUUGACACCUGCCAUAUUUUAUGGUCAAUUUGCGGUUUGUGAAGAUGUAUGGUUCGACUGCAUUCAUCCUAAUUUGUGGACAGAUUAUCCAAAAUAUCACUUGACGUUUUUCUA
Long non-coding RNA from Salvia splendens (bonfire salvia), 567 nucleotides. RefSeq lists it as uncharacterized. The transcript has 3 exons. The record is from RefSeq and is a predicted model, not a curated record. NCBI's taxonomy places the organism in Eukaryota, Viridiplantae, Streptophyta, Magnoliopsida, Lamiales, Lamiaceae.